RNAcentral lists this ribosomal RNA (500 nucleotides) under uncultured bacterium. RNAcentral's name for it is "partial 16S ribosomal RNA". It matches the Rfam family "Bacterial small subunit ribosomal RNA", at positions 30 to 523 of the family's 1533-position model. The record is from RNAcentral.
AUUGAACGCUGGCGGCAGGCCUAACACAUGCAAGUCGAGCGGAUGACGGGAGCUUGCUCCUUGAUUCAGCGGCGGACGGGUGAGUAAUGCCUAGGAAUCUGCCUGGUAGUGGGGGACAACGUUUCGAAAGGAACGCUAAUACCGCAUACGUCCUACGGGAGAAAGCAGGGGACCUUCGGGCCUUGCGCUAUCAGAUGAGCCUAGGUCGGAUUAGCUAGUUGGUGGGGUAAUGGCUCACCAAGGCGACGAUCCGUAACUGGUCUGAGAGGAUGAUCGGUCACACUGGACCUGAGACACGGUCCAGACUCCUACGGGAGGCAGCAGUGGGGAAUAUUGGACAAUGGGCGAAAGCCUGAUCCAGCCAUGCCGCGUGUGUGAAGAAGGUCUUCGGAUUGUAAAGCACUUUAAGUUGGGAGGAAGGGCAGUAAGCUAAUACCUUGCUGUUUUGACGUUACCGACAGAAUAAGCACCGGCUAACUCUGUGCCAGCAGCCGCCGUAA